RNAcentral lists this ribosomal RNA (465 nucleotides) under uncultured bacterium. RNAcentral describes it as "partial 16S ribosomal RNA". It matches the Rfam family "Bacterial small subunit ribosomal RNA", at positions 339 to 795 of the family's 1533-position model. The record is from RNAcentral.
CUACGGGCCGCAGCAGUGAGGAAUUUUGCGCAAUGGGGGAAACCCUGACGCAGCAACGCCGCGUGAGUGAUGAAGGCCUUCGGGUCGUAAAGCUCUGUCUAGUGGGAAGAACUUGCUUGAUGCUAAUAUCACCAGGCACUGACGGUACCACUGAAGGAAGCACCGGCUAACUCCGUGCCAGCAGCCGCGGUAAUACGGAGGGUGCAAGCGUUAUUCGGAAUUAUUGGGCGUAAAGGGCGCGGAGGCGGCCUUAAAAGUCAGAUGUGAAAGCCCAGGGCUCAACCCUGGAAGUGCAUUUGAUACUAUGAGGCUUGAGUAUGGGAGAGGGAAGUGGAAUUCCUGGUGUAGAGGUGAAAUUCGUAGAUAUCAGGAGGAGCACCGGUGGCGAAGGCGACUUCCUGGACCAAUACUGACGCUGAGGCGCGAAGGCGUGGGGAGCAAACAGGAUUAGAUACCCUAGUAGUC